GUUCAGAGUCGGCGAGCAGGAGGGUGUUCAUUCAUAGAUCUACCACCAUCCAUGCCAGUGUUCAGAGUCAGUGAGCAGGAGGGCGUUCAUUCAUAGAACCACCACCAUCCACAUCAGCGUUCAGAGUCAGCGAGCAGGAGGAUGUUCAUUCAUAGAUCCACCACCAUUCACACCAGUGUUCAAAAUCAGUGAGCAGGAAGGUGUUCAUUCAUAGAUCUACCACUAUCCACACCAGUGUUCAGAGUCAGUGAGCAGGAGGGCGUUCAUUCAUAGAUCCACCACCAUCCACACCAGCGUUCAGAGUCAGCGAGCAGGAGGGCAUUCAUUCAUAGAUCCACCAUCAUCCACACCAGUGCUCAAAAUCAAUGAGCAGGAGGGCUUUCAUUCAUAGACACCGUCUCCAUUCACACCAGCGUUCAGAGUCACUGAGCGGGAGGGCGUUCAUUCACAGAUCCACCAUCAUCCACACCAACACCCAAAGUCAGCGAGCAGGAGGACUUGAUGACACGCAGAUGGCUGGGCCCUGUGGCCAAAGGUCCUGAUUUAAUAGGACUAAGGCAGGGCUCCUGAAUUUGCCUUUUUCCCAACUUCCAGGGUUAUGCCAGAUGCCAGCACUGCCAGACUGAGGCCCAGCCUUGCAAACUACCAAUGUCCUUCACAGAAGAAGGCAAGCCCACGUACCACGUGGAAAACAGUGUGAAACCUCUCCUCUGGGGAAGAGUUGUACUUUUGCCUGGACAGUUUUGCAUCUGUUCUUGUUUGUUUGAGGUUCAGGUGACAAUGUUCCCCAUCCCAGGCAAUGAAUCAUCAUUGGACCAAGCCAAGCAAGGCUGUCUCAUUCCUUUUGCCAAGGACUCAUCCAGAGGAAACAUGUGACACGGUUCUGGCCAAUGAUGAGUAAGGAGAGUCGGCAGGGGUCUCUGAGAAAGCAUUUCUUCCCUCAUAGAGAAAGAGCUGCACAACAAGCCCUUCUGUCUCUUUUUCAAAGGGUUUUCAGGAGUCAUUUUGACCAUGCAUGAUUUUUGCUUUAUGCACCAUCUAUAAAACUAUCACUUGUGUACUGAGUUGAAAAGUGAGUCCCUCAAAAGACCCAGAACCUCAGAAUGCAAUCUGAUUCGGAAACGGGAUCUUCACAGGUAUAAUCACGUUAGGAUAAGGCCCUCCUAGAUUAGGGUUCCCAAUCCGAUGACUGACAGAAAAACAGGCUGGGUGCGGUGGCUCAUACCUGUGAUCCCGGCACUGUGGGAGGUUAAGGCAGAAGAAUGGCUUGAGCCCAGGGGUUCGAGGCAACCUUCGGCAACAUAGUGAGAUGUCAUCUCUACAGACACUUUUACAAUUAGUAGAGUGUGGUGCAUGCUUGUGGUCCUAACUACUCAGGAGGCUGAGAUGGGAGGAUUGUUUGAGCCUUGGAGGUUGAGGCUAGAGUAAGCCAUGUUCAUGCCACUGCACUCCAGCCUGGGAAUAGAGCAAGACCCUGUCUUCACAACAACAGCAAAAAUUCUAAAAAAAAAAUAAAGAGAAAGAAAAAAAACAGACACAGAACGGCCUGGGAGAAUGGGAGCACACAUGAAGACGGAGCAGGGAUUGGAGGGAUGUGUUUACAAGCCAGGGAAAACCAACCUGUCGACACCUGGGUUUCUAAGUUGUGGCCUCCAGAACUGUGAGGAAAUACGUUUCUGAUGGUUUAAGGCGCAUGGGGUGCUUUGUUAUAGCAGCUCUGAGAAAAAGAGAAACAGUUAAAGCACCAUGUUAUUCUUAGUAGUUAAGAAAUAGGCUGGGAGCAGUGACUCAGGCCUUAAUCCCAACACUUUGGGAGGCCGAGGUGGAAGGAUCAUUUGAGGUCAGGAGUUCAAGACCAGUCUGACCAGCAUGGCGAAAUCCCGUCUCUACUAAAAAUACAAAAAUUAGCCGGGUGUGGUAGCGCACACCUGUAGUCCCAGCUACUAGGGAGGCUGAAGCAGGAGAAUACCUUGAACCUGAGAGGUGGA
RNAcentral lists this long non-coding RNA (1988 nucleotides) under Callithrix jacchus (white-tufted-ear marmoset). RNAcentral describes it as "lncRNA (ENSCJAG00000076857.1)". The record is from RNAcentral. Lineage: Eukaryota; Metazoa; Chordata; Mammalia; Primates; Cebidae.